RNAcentral lists this ribosomal RNA (264 nucleotides) under uncultured bacterium. RNAcentral's name for it is "partial 16S ribosomal RNA". It matches the Rfam family "Bacterial small subunit ribosomal RNA", at positions 793 to 1055 of the family's 1533-position model. The record is from RNAcentral.
GUCCACGCUGUAAACGAUGUCAACUAGCCGUUGGUCCUUAUCCAAGGACAAGUGGCGCAGCUAACGCAUUAAGUUGACCGCCUGGGGAGUACGGCCGCAAGGUUAAAACUCAAAUGAAUUGACGGGGGCCCGCACAAGCGGUGGAGCAUGUGGUUUAAUUCGAUGCAACGCGAAGAACCUUACCUACCCUUGACAUCCUAAGAAUCGGUUAGAGAUAGCCGAGUGCCUUCGGGAGCUUAGAGACAGGUGCUGCAUGGCUGUCGU